Molecule: ribosomal RNA, 357 nt
Filed under: uncultured bacterium
Lineage: Bacteria
Description: bacterial SSU rRNA
Rfam family: Bacterial small subunit ribosomal RNA
Source: RNAcentral
UGGCGCACGGGUGCGUAACGCGUGGGAAUCUGCCCUUUGCUACGGAAUAACUCAGAGAAAUUUGUGCUAAUACCGUAUAAUGUCGUAAGACCAAAGAUUUAUCGGCAAAGGAUGAGCCCGCGUAAGAUUAGCUUGUUGGUGGGGUAAAGGCCUACCAAGGCGACGAUCUUUAGCUGGUCUGAGAGGAUGAUCAGCCACACUGGGACUGAGACACGGCCCAGACUCCUACGGGAGGCGGCAGUGGGGAAUAUUGGACAAUGGGCGAAAGCCUGAUCCAGCAAUGCCGCGUGAGUGAUGAAGGCCUUAGGGUUGUAAAGCUCUUUUACCAGGGAUGAUAAUGACAGUACCUGGAGAAUA